RNAcentral lists this long non-coding RNA (676 nucleotides) under Numida meleagris (helmeted guineafowl). RNAcentral's name for it is "lncRNA (ENSNMEG00000000116.1)". Lineage: Eukaryota; Metazoa; Chordata; Aves; Galliformes; Numididae. The record is from RNAcentral.
CAGCUCUCAGUUGACAUUUGCUAACAGGACAGAAAUCGUACAGUGAUCCAUAUGACAGAUUUGGACUUACGAGUGCUCACGGUGUGGAAUGUGGGCGGUCAGAGAGAAGCACCUGGGCUUUCUGCUGCACCAAGAGGAAUGUGCCUGGGGCGCUCAGGUAGAUGCCUUUAUAGAAGACACACAAGCACUCAUUCUUGCCGACGGGGCACAUGAAGAAAGCAAGAUGCCAUUACUUCAGCACCAGCGAACUGGAAUUGUCAGUCAAGUACAAACAGAGUUCUAUUUGAAAAAAAAUCGACCACUGCCUCUGCUUCCCCCUCUCCUUUCCACUCCCUUAAUUACGGCGACAGCUACAUGGGAGAAGAAGGAAACACAGCAAAGUAAGAAGUGGACUGGACUAGGAUCAGAUUUGAAUAUGGUUCUUAGUUUUUCCUCUACACUUUGGGCCAGUCACUUCACCUCCCUUCGUGCCUGCCUCAUUCCUCCUUUGCCUUGUCUGCUGCCUACAUACCAACCGUUCAGGUCGGGGACUGCCUUGCUAAACAUUAAUACAGCACCUAACCACCUCCAGGCCUGAAUCGUAUGCAUCUAAUUUGGCUAAACAGUUGGUCUAAGAUCUCAUCUCUGGAAAAGGACAUACGAAGAAGAGGAGGCCCAUGACUUUUUAGGGCAAGUC